Carya illinoinensis is the source of this 4346-nucleotide RNA transcript. It is a transcript of the gene named GDSL esterase/lipase At5g62930-like, with no coding region annotated. The record is from RefSeq and is a predicted model, not a curated record. The transcript is spliced from 3 exons. NCBI's taxonomy places the organism in Eukaryota, Viridiplantae, Streptophyta, Magnoliopsida, Fagales, Juglandaceae.
AUUUUGUUUCUUACUUUUAAUAACCAUUUUAGUAUCUUGAAUCCCGCUUCGAAAACUUACUCUCUACUAGAUGUUAUACUUUUGGUUUGACUUAUGAUCUGUUAGUAAUGUGUUCUUUUCUGUCCAUUCAUUGUACCAGAUCUGCCAACUGAUAUUUUUUUGGCUCAAGCUUUCAAGAAAAAUAAGCCAAAAUGACCUGAAAGAAUAGUCAGAAUAUUGCUUCCUACUAUGCAUUUUAGUGUCUUUCAAGGACUACAUGCAUGGAUUGGAUUAUUGGUACUUCUAUAUUGUAUUUAGCUGUGUGUAAGCUAGAUAUUUUGAUUCUUUAGGCUAACACCUUUUUGUUCAACUCAAGAACAUAUAAGUUUUUUCGGCACAUUUUCUUUUCCUUCCCCCCCCCUCCCCAAGGUGUGGAGGAUUUCUGCCUAGACAGAACCCCUAUACACUUGCUGAAAUGUAGUCUUUAGCAGCUUCUGGAGCAAUAAUGACACAUGGUGCAUGUUUCUGGGUUUUCAUUUUUGUAUGGUUUGACAUUAAUCCUAUUAUGUUUGGGAUCAUUUAUGUCACUGCCAUAGAACAGCUGUCAUGGGAUGCCUGUAGGGUUAAUUGAUAGCAAACGUCAGGUAGGUAUGCUCUCUCCAAGGUCUAGGUUCGAAUCCCACUAGGUGCAAACAAUCUCUAAGGGUCAUUGGACUCGGGGAUUUUCCCCUUGAAUUACCUGAGGUGCACUUGCGGGAAACUCCUUGCCGAGGACCUGUGUACUCUCGGGAUUAGUCGGGAUGAUGUUCCAGGACACUCGGUGCCAAUAAAAAAAAUGUCAGGUAAAACAUUGGUUUGACAUUUUGGAGUUUUGGGACUUUUGGAAAUAUUUUUUUUUAUUUUUUUGAUAAGUAAUAAUUUUAUUGAAGAAAUAGGCAUAAGCCCAAGUACACAGGAGGUAUACAAAGGAUAAACCUACAACUUCCAGAAAACAAAAAGAAAACAACCCAUAAAACUAAAACAGGUUCAGAAAAUUAUCCACCAUUACAUAAACUUUCGCCCAAAAACCCAAAGUACUCAAGAAAUAAUCCCUAAGAUCUUCCAAAGAGCGUUCGUUAUCUUCAAAACAUCUCCUAUUUCUUUCGAUCCAUAAGCACCAUAUGAGACAAGGAGGAAUCAUCUUCCAAACAGACGCUGCCUUCUUACAGCCCUUCAAACCCUUCCACCCUACCAUUAAAUCCACCACAUCUUUGGGCAUCACCCAAUGCAAACCUGUCCAGCUCAGAACCUCAUCCCACAAGAAUCUAGACACUUCACAGUGAAGGAAAAGAUGAUUUACAGAUUCUCCAUCCUUUUUGCACAUAACACACCAGUCAGAAAUAAACAGUCCUCUCCUUCUAAGAUUAUCAGUUGUCAAAACUUUGCCCAAAGAAGCCACCCAACAGAAAAAAGCAACCUUGGGAGGAACUUUCACUUUCCAAAUACUUUUCCAUGGGAAAACACAACUACUAUGACUUGACAUAACUCUAUAAUAGGAAGAAACUGAAAACUUAGCAUUUCCAGCAGAAGUCCAUGCCAUACUAUCCUCCCUUUCAGUCACCAACUUUAUGCUGUAAAGUUUAGCCAACAAAGCCUGAACUUCAUCCACUUCCCAAUCGUUAACAUCCCUUUUGAAAAUAACAUUCCAAUCAACCUUAUUAUUGCUGCUGCAGUAAGAAUCAUAAACAGCAGCAUUUUGAUCCCUUGCAAUUCUGUACAGGGCAGGAAAUUCCAGCUUAAGAGCAGCAUCCCCACACCACAAAUCAUGCCAAAAGAGAAUUCUUUUUCCAUUUCCCACCUUCAAUCUAAAAUUAUUAGAGAAAAAAUCCCAUCCUUUUCUAAUAAAUUUCCACAAACUCACCCCAUAUGCUCCACUAGAGGCUUUUGAACACCAACCUCCCCACAAACUUCCAUACUUCACAUCUAUCACAUUUUUCCAUAGGGCUUCACUCUCCAAAUGAUAUCUCCAAAGCCAUUUGCCAAGUAAAGCUUUAUUAAAGACCGUCAAAUCUUUAAUCCCCAAACCACCACCGUCCAAUGGUUGACAAACUUUCUUCCAACUGACCAAGUGAAACUUCUUUUCCUCACCUACACCACCCCAUAAGAAAUUCCGAAAUAAACUCCCAAUUUUCUUUUUGGGACUUUUGGAAAUGACUCAGGAAAUCUGGGUUGCAGUUGUUUUAGGGUUUAAAGAUAGCAAAGGCUUUGAGUUUUAUACCAGAAAAAGCUUGGAAACUAUGUUGAUUCGAGGUUCGUUUAUGGUGUUCAAAGUAAUACUUUUAGAGAAACCCAAUUAGUUAGAAAGAGGCAAAGUGCAGGGGCUGCUGUUCUGGGUGCAGUGGACAAAUUCGAGAACAGCAAUUUGAUUCUUGAGCUGUUUGAGAUUUUCCUUCAGUUAGUCUUUAGAGUUGUUGCGGUUCGGAUUUCACGAAGGAAGAUUAUGUGUAUAUUUUUGGAAUUGUUUUGGAUUGGUUAGCUGGAAGAAAGUUUGUCAACCUUUGGAUGGUGGUGGCUUGGGGAUUAAAGAUUUGAUGGUCUUCAAUAAAGCUUUACUAGGCAAAUGGCUUUGGAGAUAUCAUUUGGAGAGUGAAGCCCUAUGGAAAAAUGUGAUUGAUGUAAAGUAUGGAAGUUUGAGGGGAGGUUGGUGUUCAAAAGCCUCUAGUGGAGCAUAUGGGGUGAGUUUGUGGAAAUUUAUUAGAAAAGGAUGGGAUUUUUUCUCUAGUAAUUUUAGAUUGAAGGUUGGAAAUGGUAAAAGAGUCCUCUUUUGGCAUGAUUUGUGGUGUGGGGAUGCUGCUCUCAAGAUGGAAUUUCCUGCCCUGUUCAGAAUUGCAAGGGAUCAAAAUGCUGCUGUUUUUGAUUCCUACUGUGUAAGCAAUAAUAAGGUUGUUUGGAAUGUUAUUUUCAAAAGGGAUAUUAAUGAUUGGGAAGCGGAUGAAGUUCAGGCUUUGUUGGUUAAACUUUACAGUAUAAAGCUGGUAACUGAAAGGGAGGAUAGUAUGGCAUGGUCUUCUGCUGGAAAUGCUAAGUUUUCAGUUUCUUCUUACUAUAGAGUUAUGUCAAGUCAUGGUAGUUGCAUUUUCCCAUGGAAAAGUAUUUGGAAAGUGAAAGUUCCUCCCAAGGUUGCUUUUUUCUGUUGGGUGGCUUCUUUGGGCAAAGUUUUGACAACUGAUAAUCUUAUAAGGAGAGGACUGUUUAUUGCUGAUUGGUGUGUUAUGUGCAAAAAGGAUGGAGAAUCUGUAAAUCAUCUUUUCCUUCACUGUGAAGUGUCUAGACUCUUGUGGGAUGAGGUUCUGAGUUGGACAGGUUUGCAUUGGGUGAUGCCCAAAGAUUUGGUGGAUUUAAUGGUAGGUUGGAAGGGUUUGAAGGGCGGUAAGAAUGCAGCGUCUGUUUGGAAGAUGAUUCCUCCUUGUCUCAUGUGGUGCUUGUGGAUAGAAAGAAAUGGGAGAUGUUUUGAUGAUAAAGAACAUACUUUGGAAGAUCUUAGGGUUUUUUUCAUGGGUACUUUGGGUUAUUGGGCGAAAGUUUAUGUAAUGGUGGAUAAUUUCCUGAAUCUGUUUUAGUUUUUGGGUUUUUUUUCUUUUUGUUUUCAGGAAGUUGUAGGUUUAUCCUUUGUAUACUUCCCGUGUACUUGGGCUUAUGCCUAUUUCUUCAAUAAAAUUAUUACUUAUCAAAAAAAAAAAAAAUAUAGAGUUCCUUUCCGACGUUUGCUUAAAUAAAAAAAAUAGAGAGUUCCUUUCCUACUUCCAGCCACUUCAAAGCCAUCAAAAUUCAGUGUUUACAAACAUUAGCCGAAAACCCUUGAUUUCGUUUGGAUCCUUUUAGAACUUCUAAAGUCACAAGUUUUCCUCAAACUUUCCCACCAAAAUGAUUUUGUCGCUGCUUUCUCACAUUAUUUUGGUUUCUAUGCUAUUUUUCCUUUGUGAGAGACUUUGGGAAGUGUAUGAUUUCUGCAUCCACCUAAUUUUCUCUUUUACAUGUUUAUAUCAAUGCAGAAAAUAGUAUAUGCAUAAAGACCUAUAGAAAGCACAAGUCGCAUUUGUGCUUAUACAUACCAAAACGACUUAUCAAGAUUACAAUUGGAGGUCCUUGAGAUCAUUUACCAAGUAAAGAACCAAUGGAUUUGGUUGCAGGAAUGCUCCCCCACGAUGUUAGUUGUGCUUAUUACUCCUCCACCAGUUGACGAGGUUGGGCGUAGAGAUUAUGCUCGAUCUGUGUACGGGGAGAAAGCGAUGGAACUGCCAGAGAGGACAAAUGAAGUGACAGGCCUAUAUGCCAAGCAGUGUGUUGAACUGGCCAAGGAAAUGGGUCUCUGCUCCAUUGAUCUAUGG